GGGUGGGACCUUGAUGGCAAGUAGGUUUCGGCCCUUCUUGAGGGAGGAGUCAGACCUCCCCUCACCUU
Non-coding RNA from Ylistrum balloti, 68 nucleotides. The record is from the annotation of a RefSeq genome assembly. NCBI's taxonomy places the organism in Eukaryota, Metazoa, Mollusca, Bivalvia, Pectinida, Pectinidae.